This is a long non-coding RNA of Mustela lutreola (European mink), 787 nucleotides long. RefSeq lists it as uncharacterized. The record is from RefSeq and is a predicted model, not a curated record. NCBI's taxonomy places the organism in Eukaryota, Metazoa, Chordata, Mammalia, Carnivora, Mustelidae. The transcript has 3 exons.
CAGUGUCCUUACUACCUAGGUUCAUCAACCAGAAAUCGAGAACAAAUGGGCUGUGUCUCCGUUUCCCUCAACAUUCUCAGGUGGGGUCGCAGGAGACUGUGACAUCACACCAUGGUAACAUGGUAACAUGCCCACAUCACAGACACCACCUCACCGGAGCAGACAAGCACAAACCAAGCAGGGGAGAAGAGAAGCCUGACAACCACCAGCACCCCGAGUCCUCCACUUCAACAACGUGAGUGGAAGAGCCUGCCCGGGGUUGGGAUUCAGCCAGGAACACACCUACCGCCAUAACCGAGAAAUGUGAACCAGGAUACUGUACUGUGUGGACACUUCUUCCUCCCACAACUUGUUUUACAUACCUAAGAUCACCACUUCAUAGCAGUUAGGUUGUGAGGAUAUGGAGAGAAAAGAAUAAAACCAGUGGCCCCACUUAAUUGCAGUUUACGGUUCCUCAUCCCAACAUGAAGGCUGGAGACAAAGCAAUGGACAGAAAUGGAGAGAGGGAUACCAAGAGCUUGAAAACAUGGGCCUUUUACGUAAGUUUUUGUCACGUUACAGUAACGCUUUUUUUUUUCCUUUGAGAAAACUGUGUACGACAAAUUAAAAAAACUAAAGAUCAAAAGGAUGUGCAAGUCUUAAAGGGUUCAACUGGGUUUAGAAUCCUGAUUUGAACAUAUAAAUUCACUCAAGCAUCACUUUGGUCUAAAGGCAGGAGGAAGGCAGGCAGGAAAGGGACAAAAAGAGGGAGAUAAUUGAAUUACUCAAUAAAAGAGGCUACUUACCA